ACUAAGACUAGCCCAACUUUACCUAAAAAACAAUAAAUCUAUUAAACUUUAAAUUAAACCAUUCACCACUAAGCAAUAGUAUAGGAGAUAGAAAUUUCACUUGGCGCUAUAGACAAAGUACCGCAAGGGAAAGAUGAAAGAACAAUUAAAAGUAUAUAAAAGCAAAGCUCACUACUUGUACCUUUUGCAUAAUGACUUAACUAGAGCAACUUGACAAAAAGAAUUUUAGUCAACAAACCCGAAACCAGACGAGCUACUCAUAAAUAGUUAUAUAAGAGCACACUCAUCUAUGUGGCAAAAUAGUGAGAAAAUCUAUGAGUAGAGGUAAAAAGCUUAUCGAGCCUGGUGAUAGCUGGUUGUUCGGGAAAGAAUUUUAGUUCAACUUUAAAUUUACCCUAAGUACUCAAAACCUAAUGUAAAUUUAAAAUUUAAUCUAAAGGGGGACAGCCCUUUAGAACAGGCUACAACCUUUAGUAGAGAGUAAAAAAACCUUAUUCCAUAGUUGGCCUAAAAGCAGCUACCAAUUAAGAAAGCGUUCAAGCUCAACACACCAAAUCAAACUGAUCCCAAACUUUUACCCCAACCUCCUACCAACUAACCGAACCAAUCUAUCACUAGAUAGAAGUACUACUGUUAAUAUAAGUAACAAGAACCCACUAUUCUCCUUGCAUAAGCCUAUAUCAGAUCGGAUGCCCGCUGAUAGUUAAACAAAAACAUAAAUCAAACACAACUUAAACAAUAUCUAUCCAAAUAACUGUUAACCCAACACAGGCAUGCACUAAGGAAAGAUUAAAAGGAGCAAAAGGAACUCGGCAAAAACUAACCCCGCCUGUUUACCAAAAACAUCACCUCUAGCAUGACUAGUAUUAGAGGCACUGCCUGCCCAGUGACAUAUGUUCAACGGCCGCGGUAUCCUGACCGUGCAAAGGUAGCAUAAUCAUUUGUUCUUUAAUUUAGGACUUGAAUGAAAGGCCACACGAGGGUUAAACUGUCUCAUGCUCCCAAUCAGUGAAAUUGACCUUCCCGUGAAGAGGCGGGAAUACAACAAUAAGACGAGAAGACCCUAUGGAGCUUAAAUCAAUUAACCCAAUUACAUUUACUCAAUAACCAAAGCGGGUAUAAUAUCUAUUGAUUUUUGGGUUAAAAAUUUCGGUUGGGGUGACCUCGGAGCAUAACUAAACCUCCGAACAAUUUCAGCCUAGACUUCACUAGUCAAAGCAACUUCCGUGCCAAAUUGAUCCAAACUAAUUUGACCAAUGGAACAAGUUACCCUAGGGAUAACAGCGCAAUCCUAUUAUAGAGUCCAUAUCGACAAUAGGGUUUACGACCUCGAUGUUGGAUCAGGACACCCCAAUGGUGUAACCGCUAUUAAAGGUCCGUUUGUUCAACGGUUAAAGUCCUACGUGAUCUGAGUUCAGACCGGAGUAAUCCAGGUCGGUUUCUAUCUAUUUAAUAUUCCUCCCAGUACGAAAGGACAAGAGAAAUAGAGCCAACUCAACAGAGAGCUCUCAAUUUUAUAGAUGCUAUAAACUUAACCUAACACAUUACUUAAUAUCCUACCCAAGACCAGGGUUC
RNAcentral lists this ribosomal RNA (1575 nucleotides) under Eulemur fulvus fulvus. RNAcentral describes it as "16S rRNA". It matches the Rfam family "Bacterial large subunit ribosomal RNA", at positions 379 to 2925 of the family's 2925-position model. The record is from RNAcentral. Lineage: Eukaryota; Metazoa; Chordata; Mammalia; Primates; Lemuridae.